AGGGGUUCGAUCGAGAAUCUAACUUCAAUGCCCUGCUCCAAAGGACCUGACCACCUAUCCUGUGACCACACUCUCUUCCGACUCUGUCUCAGUGGCCUAAGCUAGCUUGACUUUUCAGCGGCAACAAAUUGAUGCUAAAGGAAGGGCUCUAAACUACAAUAGAGGUCUAAAAUUUUUUCUUUAUUUAUCAUUCAAGUAUGAAGAAUAAGAAGACUUUGGCGG
RNAcentral lists this long non-coding RNA (222 nucleotides) under Elaeis guineensis (African oil palm). Its description in RNAcentral is "long non-coding RNA (EGUI_LNC012350)". Lineage: Eukaryota; Viridiplantae; Streptophyta; Magnoliopsida; Arecales; Arecaceae. The record is from RNAcentral.